AUAGCGUAUAUUAAUAUUGUUGUAGUUAAAAAGCUCGUAGUUGAAUUUUGUCUUUGGCCGCUCGGUCCGCCUAACCGCGUGCACUGAUGUGGCCGGAGAUUUCCUUCUGGCUAACCUCAUGCCCUUCACUGGGUGUGUUGGGGAUCCAGGACUUUUACUUUGAAAAAAUUAGAGUGUUCAAAGCAGGCCUUUGCUCGAAUACAUUAGCAUGGAAUAAUAGAAUAGGACGGCGGUUCUAUUUUGUUGGUUUCUAGAGCCACCGUAAUGAUUAAUAGGGAUAGUCGGGGGCAUCAGUAUUCAAUUGUCAGAGGUGAAAUUCUUGGAUUUAUUGAAGACUAACUACUG
RNAcentral lists this ribosomal RNA (345 nucleotides) under uncultured eukaryote. RNAcentral's name for it is "SSU rRNA". It matches the Rfam family "Eukaryotic small subunit ribosomal RNA", at positions 594 to 945 of the family's 1831-position model. The record is from RNAcentral.